Molecule: long non-coding RNA, 10455 nt
Organism: Pseudopipra pipra
Lineage: Eukaryota; Metazoa; Chordata; Aves; Passeriformes; Pipridae
Exons: 2
Source: RefSeq, a predicted model, not a curated record
GUCUUCCUGCUACCCAAAGCUCCACCAAAACUCAGAGGAACCAUCAAAACUGAGAACUAGCAGCCUUGCAGUCAGGUUUUUUUCAAGGGUUUGCACAGACACAGAGGCUUCUCAUCCCCUACCACCCAUACUCCCCUCUUCAUUUUCCUGGUGUCAGAGUUAGGAAGCCACACAUGAUGUUCCUUCUCUGCAAGACCUGGUGAACUGGCUGGCAGGUCGUCUGGUGAGAAGGGAUCUGUCCUGGGAUGCUGUGAAAAGGUGGGAGCUUCUGCCUGUUGUUUGCCACGGGAAAGGGAAGAUGUCUGCGUUCAGCUGCUGCUGAUACCAGGAACACCAGCUCAAACCCAGGAACACCAGCUCAAACCCAGGAACAGCAGCUCAAACCCAGGAACAGCAGCUCAAACCCAGGAACACCAGCUCAAACCCAGGAACACCAGCUCAAACCCAGGAACAGCAGCUCAAACCCAGGAACAGCAGCUCAAACCCAGGAACACCAGCUCAAACCCAGGAACAUCAGCUCAAACCCAGGAACAUCAGCUCAAACCCAGGAACAGCAGCUCAAACCCAGGAACAGCAGCUCAAACCCAGGGACAUCAGCUUGGGACGGUGCUGCUCCGAUGCUGCUGUGGCUGAAGGAGGCUUCACCCCGUGUCCUUGGCGGCCCAGGUGUGUUCACAGGGGUCCCCCAGCCUGAGGUCCCCGGGGUGCCCCGGUGCUGCCCAGCCACGGACACCCAGCUGUGGCACGGGAUGUGUGGGGCACAGGGGCUGGGAUGUGGUGCUGGGUGGUCUCUGUGGCUUUGCUGCAGCUCCUGGGGCCAGAACCCCAACAGCCUCCAGCUCUGCCGGGGCCGUCCCCACAUCCCGGCUCGCUGGACACACUCAAAGUUCACGGUGCUAUAAAUACCCGGAACAGGGCGCCAGUGCUCCCGGCCGGGUGGGGGGGCUGAGAAAACCCGAAGGGGUUUCGUUGCAAUUAACCCUGUGGGUGCACAAGUCCUCUCUGUGCGGUUUGAGAAAGAGGAAUCCUCCGAUUCAGAAUGUUUCUAAAGCCAGAAGAGUGCAGCAAACUCCUUCUGUGGGCUGAUUCCUGCUGGGAACAGCCCUGGGAUAGGUAGUGGGAUUGGAGGAGUGCAGGAGGCUGCAGGACAGCACAGGGAAUGGGUGGUUUGUGGCCAGGAACAUCCACAGUGUGACCUCCCAGCUUGGGCAGAUCCUCGUGCUGGGGACACGGUGAUGUGGGGCCAGCAUGGCUUGUGUUGUCCCCUGAAGCAGAGGCUGCCUGUGCACCUCUCACUGCCCUCAGAGCACAGCCUGGUGCUGCACAGCCCCACACCCUGCCCUGUACGGCCCCAUACAUGUCAGUCCUUUACCCCCGAGCCUGCCCCGUGUCCCUGGCCCCAUGUGCAGGUCUCACUCCCAGCAGAAGGGCUAAAACUUGUUCAAAAUCCCGGAGUGCCACAGAAAUGCCCUAAAUCAGGACAAGCUCCAUCGCUGGCUCAGGGACAACCCCAAAACGCGGAGUCCCCAGUGGUGUCAGGUCACCUGAGGCACAGCACAGUGCAGUGAGGUGUGAAGGGGCUCUCUCUGGAAAGCCAAACACAUGGGGAGACCCCCAUUACCCUACUCAAGGCUGUACAGAGCCCUUUCAUGGUGCCAAAUGUGUCUUUUUAAGCAUUUCCCUCACAAACUCUACUCUGCUGGGUUGAGGGGCAAGACAGUCUCCAAGGAAGAGCCUCUUCUUUUCCCCUUUCACCCUGUUCAGAGCACGGGAGAUGGAAAACUCAGAGCAAUGGCAGAGGACAAGCCUGCAGAGCAGAGCCUGAUGAGCUGUUUGUGACCUUGUGGCUCCUGCUGGGGCUGGACACAACUCAGUGCACACAUGGCUCAGGACCGAGCAAGGUCCUUGUCACCGAAGGUCUCCCAGCACCCAGGGCUGAUCCCCAGCUCCAGCGGGGCCGGGCUGUCCCGAGCACAGGGCCGGACAUCCCCAGGGUCUCGCAGGGGAAUCUCAUGGGCCUGCUCAGGUCACAGUGCCCAGCUGACCCUGCCACCAGAACAACCUCAUUUCAGCCUCGCAAAUGUCACCUUUCGUGUCCCUUUGGGCCAAGCAAAGGCACCUUCAUCACUUCACUCUCCAUCAUUUCCCUCUCCUCCCCAUCACCACCGCAGUUCCACCUUGGUGCUGCGGGAUGCCACAGUUCUUCCCGACACUUGACCAGAAUUUUGUGUUACUCAGGUCGUAUCUCCUCAUGCCCACAGGGUCCUGCCCCACGGCUGCGCCCUGUGCCCCGUCCCCCAUGCUCCCUGUGCUGGCUGCCCCAGGGCUGGUCCCUCCACGCCCCCACGGCCACCGCGUGUGGCAUCGCCGGAUUCCGUGCCCGGCACGGCACCGGAGCAGAGGAGCCGGAGCCGGAGGCACUAGGGGGAGAUAAAGGCCGGGACAUGCUGGGCCCUGCGCCCUCGCCAGCCCCUCCUGUCCCCUUGUCCCCAGGGCCACCCUGGUCCCGGCUGCUGGCGGGGACAAAGAGGAGAGCUGCAGGUUUCCGCCUGUCACAGUCCCGUUGCUUUGCGGGGUCUUUCCUGGCAUCUUCGGUCUCUGGGAAGCACCUCUGGCAACGAGAGGCCUUAUGGCAUUUACAUCUUCAUGCAGCAGGUAUAAAAGCAAGAAACCACCUUCUCCCACGUGCAAAGAGCACAGGGGCUCCCCGAAAACUCACCCAGGAGGAAGGAGAACAGCAUACAGCACCCAGACCAGGGGCCAGCAGGGAGGAGGGGUCUGGGGACCCAGCCUGGAAGCAGAGAGUGACACACACUGCUGAGCUGAGCUGGAAGCUCAGCCUGUCGUUGCUCCAACUUCCCUUUCCCAAUGCCCCUCAGGUGCACUUGGCAUUGGCACAGCCAUGACAGCCUUCACAGGACCCCAGCACCAGCAAACUGGGCACCUCCAGGGCUAAAACCAAUCCAGGGGACAUCUGGCUCUAGGCACCACCCCGAUAUCACACCAGCUCCUCUCCUCCCAUGGAUGUUCCCUUCUACAGGGGCUCCCUGCAGCCCCUCUCACCAGAGAUGGGAGGAUUUCAGAUGGGCAGAGUUUGGGGGAGGUCCCAGGAGACAAAGCCAAACCAGCAGGACCUGUCCCCAGCAGCUGUUUGUGCCCAGCUGGGUCACACAGGGCCCUGUGGGUGCAGCCCUGGCUCCCGUGUCAUGAAUUGGUGCCAGAUGCUGGGCGGGCACAGUGCGAGGGCAGCUCCGUGGGCAGGAGCCACGUGAGGGGGGCACUUCUCCCUUGUAUCUUCUAUGGAUUAGAAAGAAAAGUUACAUCUUACCCCGUUUUUCCAGUGUGACUGGCACAGAGUUAACCCAAAUACUACUGAUAAAGGUUUGUAUGUUGCCUGUGAUGCCAUCAAUCCAUAGUGCCCUUGGGACCUGGGCUCACCAGGCACAUCCCUGAGCUCCCCCUAAAAAACCCCCACAGCACCUGCCCCCAAACCACCAACCUACCCCAAACUUGUGUUUUCUCUCCCACUCUCCAGUUUGGUCACACCGUGGCACCGCUUCCCCUGCAGCCACAUCUCUGAUUCGCUCAUAUUCACAGUUAUUUACAGCUCCAGCUCCACAGUUCUCAAUACCCUCACUCUUGAACUUCCCAUCUGCCGGCGCUGGAGGGGAACAGGGCGGCUGGUAACGCAAUCGGGAUGUUGGCCUCGGACCAGGAGGCUGGAUGCAGAGGGAGGAAGGCAGAGGGGUGCCUGGGGCAGGGUGUCAUCUGAGCCCCUGCGGGAACAGGGUGUCUUUGCCUCGAUAUGAGCUGGCAAGAGCAAGAGGAGGGAAGGAGAUCCUCCGUCAGCGCUUUGCUAUGCACCACACUCCCUGUCCCCCACUCCCGGGACACACGGACUCACCGCUGUGGUGGCAGCACACCCAUACCCAGGGCUGCUCAUCCUGGCUCCUUGCUCCCUCCCAGGCCUGGAAAGUUUCACGGCCUCGUUACAAACACACGCUCAAAGAGCAGAGAUUGGGUGCGUCAGUGCUUUUCCCGUGCUGUGAGGCGGGGGAGGUGCACACGGGAGCACCCCAUGGCUCACCCCGUGUGCCGAGUGUGCUGACAGAGGCGGCUCUGACAUGAUGCUGUGGAUAUAAAAGAGCUGCAGAUUUGUGCUCAGCCCCCAGCACAGCCCCUAAACCUUUUGGGGGCUCUUGUGCAAGUCUGGGGUUUGCACUGUCUCUUAGCCAGUAGCAGAUACCCGUGGAUUUGCAGCAGUUUUACCUGGAAGUAAAGGCUUAUUUUUUCUACUAUUUUUCAAUAACAUUAAAUAAAGACAAAGGGAUUGCCUGGGAUUGCUUGUGGCACCCAGUGCUGUGACUGCAGCACAGCUUCCCCACUGUGAAACGCAUCCUGUGCCACCAUGGGACACCAGUCCAGGAUCUUGGGCUGCAAACAGGCAGGGAUUGGAGUUUGUUUCAGUUGUUUCCACACUGCUGUUUUGCUUUUAGCAAAUCAUUCCUAAGAUGGUGCCAUUCUGCUGCAUGUUCUACCCAUUCAAUUCCCAUCUCCCGGCUUGGACACAGCCUUUGAAAAAGGACACCUCCAGUGCACCCCCAGCACUAACCCAGCCCCUCUUCCCAAAGGCUCCCGCUCACAGGUGCCUCGUGCCAAGCCCAACGUGGUCACUUGUCUCAGAGUGUCGAGUACAAAGCAUAUGCAGGACAGAUGGGUAUGAGGCUUAUAAGAUAAUUAAGCAUGUUAAUGAAGUUCAUUUGCAUCUAGCUCUUAAAUUCCCAUAAACUCGGCGAAGCUGGGAAAUGAGAAUCGCUGCUCGACGCUACAAAGCAGCGAAACUUUAGUUACCAAAAGGAUAAUCACCAAGUCGAGACACAAAGCCAUCAAGGCCCAGCCGGUUGCAGCCCCCCAGGCCCCCAUGGCAGAGCUGUGACACUCGAUGCCACCGAUGCCACUGCAGCAGCACAGAGUGCUGAUGGGCUUUGCUGGACUGAAACAGCACAAAACCAGGGAGAGCAGGGGGAGUUAUUGCUCCAGGGAAAGACUUGACCCAGAGAUGGAGGAAAAGGUCAGAGUGGUGGUAAAAGGAAAGCCCAUGGCUGGUGUGGGGAGCCAGGUGAGAGCACCUCCUCUCCAUGGGCUGCCCCUGAAGCAGGACCAGGGCAGGGUCCUUCGGUGAAGCCUCAGCGAUGGCACAGCAGAGAGAGGCAGGUGGGUACCCCUCAGGCACAGAGGGAGUCCAGGGCUGUGACCAGAGAGAGCUGGAACUGCCCCAUGAAACUAGGGGAACAGCUGGAACUUGGGGAUUGCCAGGGAACACCCAGGAGAACAAGGGUAGGAGCUGAGAGGAGAUCUGCCCCACACUCGCCUUCCCCAGCACCAGAGCUGGGAGGGCACAGGGGGUCCCCGUGCCCAGCCAAGCCCAGAGGUCACCUGCGAGUUCUCAACUCCUCAGGAAAGCUGAAAUAUCACCUCCAGUUCAGCAAGGAGGGCACAAGCCAGGCAGUUUCCAGCCAUCCAUGGAUCACAGACUGGGAGACAGCUCCAGCUGCUGCAGCACCUCUCCAUCACUCCCGAGCUGAUGGUGGUUCCUCAGAAGCAGAGACCCCACGAGCAGCACAGCUGUUGUCCCCCAUUGUCCCAGAAAGCCUUUUGGGAACUGCUGUGAAACACAUCCAAGAGAUGUCUGGGCUUUGUAAGGAAAGUCCCCACGUGAACUAAUCAAGCACAGGGUGGAUCUUUGAAUACACCCAACACUGGUGUACAACACAUCCUGAACAAGAACCAAAGCACAGAGAGAGAAGAAACUUUAACAUGGGGUUACCCCGGACAAGACAACGCCAAACUGAACACAGGAAGGCAAGGUUUAUUUGAAAUACCUCGGUAAGAUUUAUUAAAAAUAUCCCUUGGCAGUUGACAAUCACCAUGAUCCAUAAUUGGAACCUAACUGGACAACAUUGGAACAGUUUUCGCCUAUAACAGAAGGUGAACACCCAGGAACACCACAGCAAGGCCUACACAUCCCUACUGGCAUCAAACACCUGGGCUGGAACUGAGGAGCACAGGGCAACGCCUGGCUGUGGCACCAAUCACACCACAGGCAUUACUGUAUGCUCUGAUACUUACCUGGGCUGUGGGAAAACCCAACUGUUUAAAAUACAGGGAAAAGAAUUAAUCAGAACCCAGAUUCCACCUCUCCAUGCUUCCAGGGGGACAAAGCUCUUGGUUUUGCUGCAGCUGAGGGAGAGCAUCAAAAUGGGAGGUGGGAGGUCUGGCUGGACCCAUCCCGAUGCUGUGGCUGCCCCAUGAGAAGGGUCCGGUGCCGCAGGACACGAUGGCAGUGGGUCACUGGUCAUCGACAUGGAGCAGGAUCCAGAGGAAACCUUCACAUCUUCCAGCUCAAACCCUGGCUGGGCAGGGGCUCAGGGCUUCAUUAGGGGCUUCAUCCCCCAGUGAAACCCCAUGAACACAUGGUGGAAGGCUUAGGAGAGAUCCUAAGGGAGGCAGGGGGUGGUUGGUGGGACGGACAGACAGACAGGAUUUGUUCUUUGGGUCAGAUUCCAAUUUUGGAAGCACCAAGGCUCCUCUUCUCAACCAACCACCCCCCCUCAGUCAGUCCUUGCUCUGUGGACACUCACUCCAGAAUAACUGUCUCACUCCCCUUUCCAAGCGGAUCGAGUGGAUCAGAGUGAGGCAUUGCUAUUCCAGAGCAAACCAUCGAUGCUCUCUGCUAAAGAGAAAAAUAACUACUUCAAAUUCAUCCCCCACUCUGGCCAACACAAGCUCCCUGGGGGGAAAAGCUCUGCUGACACCUCCUGCCACAGCUGGCAAUGGCCUCCGGUGGCUGCACUGCCCCUUCCCGACACUUCAGAGCUGCACUAAAACGAGGAAAAAUCAGGAAGGAGUCGUUUUCUCACCCAGCACUGGGAACAAGAAGGUCAUUUAUCACCAACUUCAUGUGACAAAUUCCUUUCACGUUUAAAACACGUCCUAGGUAUGUCCCUAAUAAAAAAUUAACUCGGUGGCUUCAUGAUUACCAAAGAAACAUUGUCAAAAGCCAGAUCCAAACCAAAGGGCUGAAAAACCUUCUGUUCCAAACUGUUCCUCUUCCAGACCAUGCGCAAAGGGCUGCAGCUGAAGUGGGGCUGGAGCAAAAAUACAAAAGCAAACCGAUUUGGAGUUGACAUAGUGUAUUGUGAAUUACUUCUCAGCUUUUCUACAUCUAAGAGAGCGUGAAAUGAGCGUCCGUGCAGUGAAACAGUUCAAUAUACAACUGGUUACAGAGCUGCAGGUAAUACGUUGGAUCUAUGUACACACAACGCUUAAUAUUUCACAGAUACAACUUUUUUCCAUCUCGGUUUUGUCCACAAAGCAUUGGCAGAGUAUUUACAGCGAGGCCUCUGUGAGGAAGCCCCAUCCCCUGUCACAGCCCCAUCCGAAGCUGCUCGAGCAGUGGGUGUAAACAGAGCGGUUCCCUCUUCCUGCAAGGGAGGGACAAGGUGGGGAACACGGGCUGAGCUGGGCAGGAGGGAAGAAAUGAUGUCCAGCUAACCUGGAGGCUUCAAAACAGUUUGAUUUGCCUUUUUAAAAAUUUGCAACUGGAAACUGUUCUUGGUUAAUUUUCAUUUCCUAAUUCAGUAACGUUUCGAUGACGUUCUCAGUUAGUGCUUUCUACCCGUCUGUAUUUCUGUUCAUCCCCACGUGUGCCUGUGUGAGGUCAGGCAGUGCUGAAGCCUUGGGUCAGCACCGAGGCAGCUCCUCAAGGAAGCAGGGGAUGCUCAAGGAAACAAGGGAAUGCUCAGGGGUCUGUGCUCGCUCCCAGACCCACCCCCUGGCAAACCAAAGCCAACCCUGGUUUCAGCUGAUUACUCCAAAAAUAAUCUCUCUCAGGCUGUUUGUAAUCAGGUGCUGCCACCCUCGAUGGCUCAUACAGGGGGAGGUGUCACUGUGUGGACGGAGGGUGGGCAGACCCAUCCCCAUCCCAUCCCCAUCCCCACCCUCAUCCCUCGCCCCAGUCCAACCCCCAUCCCCGGCCAGCCAUGGUCAGACAGCAGCGCUCCGAUUUCCAGCGCAGGGUCUCAGUAACCAGCUGAAAUUUGCUCCCACGAGAAAAGCAAACCAACAGGGAGGAGGGAAGGUGCAUUUACAAAGGUGUCCACGGACUGGCUGCACGGAGCAGGCAGUGGGAUGUUGUCCUAGAGCAAACCUUCUGUAUUCGUGCUUAAUUGGAUGCUGCUACUUUUGGUCUGUGUUUGGCCCAGCCACCUGUGAGAGUCUGUUCUUUUCCUACCAGGUUAUAAGAAAACAAGCACUGAUAAACAAGAACUCCGUCCUUGAAGGAGGCAUCUCAUAUAAACUGAAAUUAAUUGGUGACUGGCUAUUGGCCAAUGGCCCUCCAAGGGCAUUUGAAGGAGGAAGCGAAGAGGAGGAGGAUGAAGCCCCCAGACUCAUCUAGGAAAGACCCCCCGAGGUGCAGCACACAGGCACAGGGGAAUUCCAGUUACACAGGAGUGCACAGGAGGGGCACCACCUACACCACAGGGGGGAGGGACUGAGGGCCUCUGGCUGGGCAGUGCUGGCCACACCUGCCCAGGUAGACAUCACAGGUUAAUCGUAUGAAAAGCAGAGAGCUCGUGUUGGGAGCAAACUCAAGCUUCACACAGAGGACAACGUUGCCUGUUGUGGGGACACCCACUACUGUGUGAGCCUGCCGACACCCCGAGGAUGCAGCCUGUGCUAUGGGGAACUCUGAGCAUUCUGGGGUCAGUGACACAACCCUGUAAGUAACACCUGAGUCAGUGGGGGGUUGUACUGAGGGCUUAUUUCCCUCCUCUUUCCUCUCUCUCGUGUUCUCCUUUUGUUGGCCACUUCUUUGUAAUAAAUAUUGUUUUGUCGAGCUUUCAGCAGUGUGGUGGUUUCGGUUUCAGCAUUCUCCCAGCUGUGUAAUUUGGUGAUGAGGGUGGGAUGCUGAACAUGAAACACCCCGUUGCUGGGGAAAAAGUGGACUCUGCAAGUAGAGUGCAUAGCUCGUAGAGUUGUGCCACUGAUUGUGGAAAACAAGCAGGACCCGCCGGUGGAGUGCAUAGCUUGCAGGGUGCGCUGCUGUUUGGGGUUUUUUUGUGGAAAAAGUGGGACCCACACAGUCUGUGGGGCUGCUGCUUAUUGCUGGGGGGGGCAGGGUAGAGAGUGUAGCUGUCACCUCCUGUUUUUGUUGUUCUCAUGCGAGCUGUGUUGUCUGUCCGUUGUCAGUGUGAGCUCGGGGUGUUGGUAACGGCACCGUAAUCCCUUAUCUGUUAGACGGGGUUUUUCCUGGACCCCACAGUGAUGGUGUGUGCAGGGUCGGCUGGUUGCUGCCCGACGAGACUCUUCCUGAGUCUUUCCUGACUCUUCCUGUGUGAGCGUGUUGGGGGCUGUGGGUGGAGGAACCAGCAUGAGUUUGUUAGUAACAGUGUCGAAACCCUGGGAUGGGGGUCUGGAAGGUGCCCCUCCUGUUGAGCAUCCCGGGUGGAUGCAGGAGCCUUGGAAUACGCUCUGGGAUCGUUUAGAAGCCACACCAGGGCCAGGCCACUGCGCAGGAGCCGCAGGGAGGGAGGUGGCCCAGUGGUGGCUGCAGCAGCAGGAAAGAAGAAAAAAAACUCUCUGAGUCUCCAAGCCCUCCAACAUGUUGGGUCUGAAUCUCAACUACACAACAGGAGGAGAGCUUGGAUGCAAAGAACAGAAAAAAGAAAGGGGAGAACUUGGAUGCAAAAAAAAAGAGAAAAGGGGGGAGAGCUUGGACACAUGAAUCCUCUGAAGAGUGGACUCACAGCGUUGGAACCAUCGAAUCUAUUUGAUAAUUUAAGUGUCUACAACUUUGGUUUUGGUAACUUUAAAAAAGUGAAAUUAUUUACAUAGUGUAUUUUGUGCUUUAAAGCAACAAACACCAAGUCCUAGGUGCAUGUGUACAAUUAGAUGCCCUCACACACAUCCCAUAGUCAAGAUUUAAAGAACGUUAAGAAUAAUAAAAUUGAUGAAUGAAAAAUAAAAAAGGUUAAAACUUCAGAUUGAUUGAUUGAUUUAUGCCUGUGUGAGGGAUCUGAGUCGUGUUUGAGACUCUGCUGUAGUGGGUCUGUGGUUGUGUUUGUCAAUGUGGUAUGGGGAAAAUAUUCUAUGGUUUUACUGCUGGGAACUUGACUUUUGGAAAAGAUACAACGGAGCCGUUGUUGGCACGAGGUUGGUAUCAUAAGCUGUUGUGAUUUCAGUCACACGUGAGCUGGUGUCACCACGGGAAAACACCACUCAGGUGAGGAGAAUGAGACCACACUGCUUUGAUCCACGGGACACCCUGAAGGUGCAUCACCUGACUGAGUGGGGGGUUGUACUGAGGGCUUAUUUCCCUCCUCUCUCCUCUCUCUCAGGUUCUAGUUUCGUUGGCCACUUCUUUGUAAUAAAUAUUGUUUUGUUGAGCUUUCA